AACGAACGCUGGCGGCAUGCCUAACACAUGCAAGUCGAACGAGACCUUCGGGUCUUGUGGCGCACGGGUGCGUAACGCGUGGGAACCUGCCCUUAGGUUCGGAAUAACUCUCCGAAAGGGGUGCUAAUACCGGAUAAUGUCUUCGGACCAAAGAUUUAUCGCCUUUGGAUGUGCCCGCGUUGGAUUAGCUUGUUGGUAGGGUAAUAGCUUACCAAGGCGACGAUCCAUAGCUGGUCUGAGAGGAUGAUCAGCCACACUGGGACUGGGACACGGCCCGGACUCCUACGGGAGGCAGCAGUGGGGAAUAGUGGACAAUGGGCGAAAGCCUGAUCCAGCAAUGCCGCGUGAGUGAUGAAGGCAUUAGGGUUGUAAAGCUCUUUUAACCGGGAUGAUAAUGACAGUACCGGGAGAAUAAGCUCCGGCUAACUCCGUG
Molecule: ribosomal RNA, 433 nt
Filed under: uncultured bacterium
Lineage: Bacteria
Description: partial 16S ribosomal RNA
Rfam family: Bacterial small subunit ribosomal RNA
Source: RNAcentral